GGAGGUUUUGUUGGUGGGAAGGGUGAAUGGGCAAAAAUAUCUUUGUUGGCGGAUGUUUUGGUGAAUGGGUGAAUUAGGUUUCAAGAAGCAUUAGGUUUCGCGGAGGUUUUUUUGGCGGUAUCUUUGUCAAUCAUUUUGUUCGUUCAAGGUACCUUCAUGUAAAAAUAUUCCUUAAGCUACCUCAUGAUCUGUUUUUUAAAAAAAUCAUCACUAAAAUUAUUGGGUGGGACAAAGGAGGGCUAAAGGAGGGCUAAAGGUGUCCGCCAUCCAGUACAAUACACGAGCCUUUGACAUUUAUUUGAAUUUUUUGUUUAAUACAUGGGUCUAGCCCACGUAUUCUAACAAGCAAAUGGGCACCCGGAUACCAAAUGAUACAUAGUACAACACUUCAUGGGAAGUGAGAAGACUAAUUAGUGUUGGAGACGGCCACAAUUAACGAUCUUUCGUCCAAC
Molecule: long non-coding RNA, 452 nt
Filed under: Setaria viridis
Lineage: Eukaryota; Viridiplantae; Streptophyta; Magnoliopsida; Poales; Poaceae
Description: long non-coding RNA (SVIR_LNC011238)
Source: RNAcentral